RNAcentral lists this ribosomal RNA (500 nucleotides) under uncultured bacterium. Its description in RNAcentral is "partial 16S ribosomal RNA". It matches the Rfam family "Bacterial small subunit ribosomal RNA", at positions 30 to 523 of the family's 1533-position model. The record is from RNAcentral.
AUUGAACACUGGCGGCAUGCCUUACACAUGCAAGUCGAACGGCAGCACGGGAGCAAUCCUGGUGGCGAGUGGCGAACGGGUGAGUAAUAUAUCGGAACGUGCCCAGUCGUGGGGGAUAACGCAGCGAAAGCUGUGCUAAUACCGCAUACGAUCUACGGAUGAAAGCGGGGGAUCGCAAGACCUUGCCGGGUUCGAGCGGCCGAUAUCAGAUGAGCUAGUUGGUGGGGUAAAGACCCACCAAGGCGACGAUCUGUAGCUGGUCUGAGAGGAGGACCAGCCACACUGGAACUGAAAAACGGUCCAGACUCCUACGGGAGGCAGCAGUGGGGAAUUUUGGACAAUGGGCGCAAGCCUGAUCCAGCAAUGCCGCGUGCAGGAUGAAGGCCUUCGGGUUGUAAACUGCUUUUGUACGGAACGAAACGGCCCUUUCUAAUACAGGGGGCUAAUGACGGUACCGUAAGAAUAAGCACCGGCUAACUACGUGCCAGCAGCCGCCGUAA